Molecule: long non-coding RNA, 544 nt
Organism: Mustela erminea (ermine)
Lineage: Eukaryota; Metazoa; Chordata; Mammalia; Carnivora; Mustelidae
Exons: 3
Source: RefSeq, a predicted model, not a curated record
AGAGACAAGCUUUCAGGGCACUAAGUGGGAUUACUGGGGCGAGUGACGUCAAGAAACUCCCUGUAUGACAGAGCAGAAUCCUCAUAAGAGCUCUACCGCGGCCAGAUACUGCAGGUACAAGUACUCAAGGCGGGCUGGAGCACAGGGUUCAUUCAGGGGCAGCAGAGAAACCCAAUCAAGAGAAUACACUUGAGACUGGAAAUUUUCUUUGGGGUAAUUACUCCCCUGAACUCUUAAGACUUCACAUUUUGUUUGCAUCUGAGGUCAAGUCAGAAAUGUUUCUACUUGGUGGCUUUGGUUCAGAAAAGCUAACUGUGUUGACCAACAUGAACACGUAGUCACCACAUUUAUCUGAUAGAAAUGACAGUCUCCUGUUGUAUGUGGGGGGGAAUGGGCGGGGCGGGUCAGAGGGGCUUCCUACAGGAAGCCCUCCAACCAGGAACAUCAGAGGAAAGAAUGAUGAAAUCUUAAUCUUCCAUGCCUAGGCAUUUAGAGCAAAGAAGUUUCAGGUCUUGCAAAUGCCUAACUAUAUAAAAUCUUCUCC